UGGCCCUACGGGGCGCAGCAGUGGGGAAUAUUGCACAAUGGGGGAAACCCUGAUGCAGCGACGCCGCGUGAGCGAAGAAGUAUUUCGGUAUGUAAAGCUCUAUCAGCAGGGAAGAAAAAUGACGGUACCUGAGUAAGAAGCACCGGCUAAAUACGUGCCAGCAGCCGCGGUAAUACGUAUGGUGCAAGCGUUAUCCGGAUUUACUGGGUGUAAAGGGAGCGCAGGCGGGGCGGCAAGUCUGCUGUGAAAGCCCGGGGCUCAACCCCCGGACUGCAGUGGAAA
This 282-nucleotide ribosomal RNA is filed under the name uncultured bacterium. RNAcentral describes it as "partial 16S ribosomal RNA". It matches the Rfam family "Bacterial small subunit ribosomal RNA", at positions 334 to 632 of the family's 1533-position model. The record is from RNAcentral.